This 253-nucleotide ribosomal RNA is filed under the name uncultured bacterium. RNAcentral describes it as "partial 16S ribosomal RNA". It matches the Rfam family "Bacterial small subunit ribosomal RNA", at positions 524 to 776 of the family's 1533-position model. The record is from RNAcentral.
UACGUAGGGUGCAAGCGUUAAUCGGAAUUACUGGGCGUAAAGCGUGCGCAGGCGGUUAUGUAAGACAGGUGUGAAAUCCCCGGGCUUAACCUGGGAACUGCAUUUGUGACUGCAUAGCUAGAGUACGGUAGAGGGGGAUGGAAUUCCGCGUGUAGCAGUGAAAUUCGUAGAUAUCGGGAGGAACACCAGUGGCGAAGGCGGCGAUCUGGGAAGAUACUGACGCUGAGGUGCGAAAGCGUGGGGAGCAAACAGG